This 83-nucleotide transfer RNA is filed under the name Schistocephalus solidus. It matches the Rfam family "tRNA". From Rfam's summary of the family: Transfer RNA (tRNA) molecules are approximately 80 nucleotides in length. Their secondary structure includes four short double-helical elements and three loops (D, anti-codon, and T loops). Lineage: Eukaryota; Metazoa; Platyhelminthes; Cestoda; Diphyllobothriidea; Diphyllobothriidae. The record is from Rfam by way of RNAcentral.
GACCUCGUAGCUCAUUUGGCGAGAGCCUGGACGGUACUUCAGCCUGCCCCUUACUGACGUGGGUUCGAAUCUCACUGAGGCCA